UUUAUAUAAUAUAAAUAAUAUAUUUGACUUCCAAUCAAAAAAUCUAAUUUUUAGUAUAAAUA
Molecule: transfer RNA, 62 nt
Filed under: Spilopyra sumptuosa
Lineage: Eukaryota; Metazoa; Arthropoda; Insecta; Coleoptera; Chrysomelidae
Description: tRNA-Gly
Source: RNAcentral